RNAcentral lists this transfer RNA (95 nucleotides) under Rosellinia necatrix. It matches the Rfam family "tRNA". From Rfam's summary of the family: Transfer RNA (tRNA) molecules are approximately 80 nucleotides in length. Their secondary structure includes four short double-helical elements and three loops (D, anti-codon, and T loops). Further hydrogen bonds mediate the characteristic L-shaped molecular structure. tRNAs have two regions of fundamental functional importance: the anti-codon, which is responsible for specific mRNA codon recognition, and the 3' end, to which the tRNAs corresponding amino acid is attached (by aminoacyl-tRNA synthetases). tRNAs cope with the degeneracy of the genetic code in two manners: having more than one tRNA (with a specific anti-codon) for a particular amino acid; and 'wobble' base-pairing, i.e. permitting non-standard base-pairing at the 3rd anti-codon position. Lineage: Eukaryota; Fungi; Ascomycota; Sordariomycetes; Xylariales; Xylariaceae. The record is from Rfam by way of RNAcentral.
GGUGAGAUGGCCGAGUGGUUAUGGCGCUGCGUUCAGGUUUCUGAGCAAUUCUCGCAGUGGAGCAAUCCGCGUGGGUUCGAGUCCCACUCUCAUCA